RNAcentral lists this ribosomal RNA (253 nucleotides) under uncultured bacterium. RNAcentral's name for it is "partial 16S ribosomal RNA". It matches the Rfam family "Bacterial small subunit ribosomal RNA", at positions 524 to 776 of the family's 1533-position model. The record is from RNAcentral.
UACGUAGGGACCGAGCGUUGUCCGGAUUCAUUGGGCGUAAAGAGCUCGUAGGCGGCCACUCAAGUCGAAUGUGAAACCUCGAGGCUUAACCUCGAGCCUGCAUUUGAUACUGGGCGGCUAGAGUCUGGUAGGGGGAUCUGGAAUUCCUGGUGUAGCGGUGGAAUGCGCAGAUAUCAGGAGGAACACCGGUGGCGAAGGCGGGAUCCUGGGCCAGUACUGACGCUGAGGAGCGAAAGCGUGGGGAGCAAACAGG